GAUGAACGCUGGCGGCGUGCCUAAUACAUGCAAGUCGAGCGAACGGACGAGAAGCUUGCUUCUCUGAUGUUAGCGGCGGACGGGUGAGUAACACGUGGAUAACCUACCUAUAAGACUGGGAUAACUUCGGGAAACCGGAGCUAAUACCGGAUGAUAUUUUGAACCGCAUGGUUCAAAAGUGAAAGACGGUCUUGCUGUCACUUAUAGAUGGAUCCGCGCUGCAUUAGCUAGUUGGUAAGGUAACGGCUUACCAAGGCAACGAUGCAUAGCCGACCUGAGAGAGUGAUCUGCCACACUGGAGCUGAGACACGGUCCAGACUCCUACGGGAGGCAGCAGUAGGGAAUCGUGCGAACUGGGCGAAAGCCUGACGGAGCAACGGCGCGUGGGUGAUGAAGGUCUUCGGAGUGUAAAACUCUGUUAUUAGGGAAGAACAUAUGUGUAAGGAAAGGUGCACAUCUUGACGGUACCUAAUCAGAAAGCCACGGCUAACUACGUG
RNAcentral lists this ribosomal RNA (497 nucleotides) under uncultured bacterium. Its description in RNAcentral is "partial 16S ribosomal RNA". It matches the Rfam family "Bacterial small subunit ribosomal RNA", at positions 28 to 507 of the family's 1533-position model. The record is from RNAcentral.